AUUGUAUUUAAAUUUAUAAGCAAAUAUAACAUUAAUUAAAAAGGAUUUGAAGAGUAUUCAAUCCCAAUUACAGAGAAAGGCCAUUGAAGAAGUUUUAUUUACAUGUGAGAAACACAAGAUAAAGCAUUGCAUACAACACUCAGUUUUAUGAAUGCACUAUUGGGGAGUUCAUCAUGCUUCUUCCUCUGUUUUGCUUACCUUCAUAGACAUUUCUCCAGAUAGGUUUUGAGGAAAAUUAUCAAUCUCCCAGAACAAUGCUUUUAUCAAAUGUUGAAUUUCUGGGUCCAUUUCGGCAUCCUCGUACGCAGCUUUUCGUUUUUGCUUCGAAUCAAAGGCUGGUUCAUGUCGAUUAACGAUCUUAGUUGUGCAACUGAUUAGAGAGUUUCUGGCUUUUUUGUAGUAUACUUUCUCAACAUGAUCGCUUCUAUGUGACCCUGUUUUCUGCAUUGCCUCAAUCUCUCUCUUCAUUGAAGGAGAAAAAAGAGUGUUGAUUGAGAAGAACUCACAGUGUUAUUUCACCCUCAUAAGCCCUCUAUCAGUGUGAUUUAUACAUACAAAAAAUGUUCUAUGAACAAAUCAACACAGCUGUAGCUGGUUUCCCAUUGAUUUAAG
This 612-nucleotide long non-coding RNA is filed under the name Phaseolus vulgaris (common bean). Its description in RNAcentral is "long non-coding RNA (PVUL_LNC004650)". The record is from RNAcentral. Lineage: Eukaryota; Viridiplantae; Streptophyta; Magnoliopsida; Fabales; Fabaceae.